UACGUAGGGCGCAAGCGUUUAUCCGGAAUUAUUGGGCGUAAAGAGCUCGUAGGCGGUUUGUCGCGUCUGCCGUGAAAGUCCGGGGCUCAACUCCGGAUCUGCGGUGGGUACGGGCAGACUAGAGUGAUGUAGGGGGAGACUGGAAUUCCUGGUGUAGCGGUGAAAUGCGCAGAUAUCAGGAGGAACACCGAUGGCGAAGGCAGGUCUCUGGGCAUUAACUGACGCUGAGGCGCGAAAGCGUGGGGAGCGAACAGG
Molecule: ribosomal RNA, 255 nt
Filed under: uncultured bacterium
Lineage: Bacteria
Description: partial 16S ribosomal RNA
Rfam family: Bacterial small subunit ribosomal RNA
Source: RNAcentral